UACGGAGGGUGCAAGCGUUAAUCGGAAUUACUGGGCGUAAAGGGGGCGUAGGCGGCCGUGAAAGUCCGGUGUGAAAAUUCACGGCUCAACCGUGGGACUGCGCUGGAAACUACACGGCUUGAGGACGGUAGAGGGAGACGGAACUGCUGGUGUAGGGGUGAAAUCCGUAGAUAUCAGCAGGAACGCCGGUGGGGAAGCCGGUCUCCUGGGCCGCUCCUGACGCUGAGGCCCGAAAGCUAGGGGAGCAAACCGG
RNAcentral lists this ribosomal RNA (253 nucleotides) under uncultured microorganism. RNAcentral's name for it is "partial 16S ribosomal RNA". It matches the Rfam family "Bacterial small subunit ribosomal RNA", at positions 524 to 776 of the family's 1533-position model. The record is from RNAcentral.